CAGCAGCCGCCGCGGGAAAACGAAGGGGGCUAGCGUUGUUCGGAUUUACUGGGCGUAAAGCGCACGUAGGCGGACUUUUAAGUCAGGGGUGAAAUCCCGGGGCUCAACCCCGGAACUGCCUUUGAUACUGGGAGUCUUGAGUUCGAGAGAGGUGAGUGGAAUUGCGAGUGUAGAGGUGAAAUUCGUAGAUAUUCGCAGGAACACCAGUGGCGAAGGCGGCUCACUGGCUCGAUACUGACGCUGAGGUGCGAAAGCGUGGGGAGCAAACAGGAUUAGAUACCCCAGUAGUCCCUGUCUCUUAUAC
RNAcentral lists this ribosomal RNA (304 nucleotides) under uncultured bacterium. Its description in RNAcentral is "partial 16S ribosomal RNA". It matches the Rfam family "Bacterial small subunit ribosomal RNA", at positions 506 to 807 of the family's 1533-position model. The record is from RNAcentral.